AACGAACGCUGGCGGCAUGCCUAACACAUGCAAGUCGAACGAGACCUUCGGGUCUAGUGGCGCACGGGUGCGUAACGCGUGGGAACCUGCCUUUAGGUUCGGAAUAACUCAGAGAAAUUUGAGCUAAUACCGGAUAAUGUCUUCGGACCAAAGAUUUAUCGCCUUUAGAUGGGCCCGCGUUGGAUUAGCUAGUUGGUGGGGUAAAGGCCUACCAAGGCGACGAUCCAUAGCUGGUCUGAGAGGAUGAUCAGCCACACUGGGACUGAGACACGGCCCAGACUCCUACGGGAGGCAGCAGUGGGGAAUUUUGGACAAUGGACGCAAGUCUGAUCCAGCCAUUCCGCGUGCAGGAUGAAGGCCUCGGGUUGUAACUGCUUUGUACGGACGAAACGGUGAGCUCUAAUACAG
Molecule: ribosomal RNA, 408 nt
Filed under: uncultured bacterium
Lineage: Bacteria
Description: bacterial SSU rRNA
Rfam family: Bacterial small subunit ribosomal RNA
Source: RNAcentral